AAAGGGCGAGUACGGAGCGGCAAACGGGUGAGUAACACGUAGCUAACCUACCCGUCCGAUGGGGAUAACCCUCCGAAAGGGGGGCUAAUACCCGAUAGUCUCCCGGCAUCACAAGAUGCCAGGAGGAAAGGCGCUGGGCGACCGGCGUCGCGGACGGAGGGGGCUGCGGCCCAUCAGCUUGUUGGUGGGGUAAUGGCCCACCAAGGCGAUGACGGGUAGGGGGCCUGAGAGGGUGGCCCCCCACACGGGGACUGAGACACGGCCCCGACUCCUACGGGAGGCAGCAGUGGGGAAUCUUGGGCAAUGCCCGCAAGGGUGACCCAGCGACGUCGCGUGCGGGACGAAGCCCUUCGGGGUGUAAACCGCUUUUCUGGGGGAAGAAUAAGGUGGGGAGGGAAUGCCCUGCUGAUGACGGUACCCCAGGAAUAAGGGACGGCUAACUACGUGCCAGCAGCCGCGGUAAGACGUAGGUCCCGAGCGUUGCCCGGAUUUACUGGGCGUAAAGUGCGCGUAGGCGGUUCGGCAAGUCGCUCGUGAAAGCCCGGGGCUCAACCCCGGGAGGUCGGGCGAAACUGCCGGACUAGAGAACGGCAGAGGAGGGUGGAGCGGCCGGAGUAGCGGUGAAAUGCGUAGAUACCGGCCGAAAUCCCGAUGGCGAAGGCAACCCUCUGGGCCGGUCCUGACGCUGAGGCGCGAAAGCGUGGGGAGCGAACCGGAUUAGAUACCCGGGUAGUCCACGCCCUAAACGAUGCGGGCUAGGUGUCGGCCCGGACCUGGGUCGGUGCCGCAGCUAACGCGUUAAGCCCGCCGCCUGGGCAGUACGGCCGCAAGGCUGAAACUCAAGGGAAUUGACGGGGUCCCACACAAGCGGUGGAGCAUGUGGUUUAAUUCGAUGCUAAACGAAGAACCUUACCCGGGCUUGACAUGCCAGUGGUACUGACCCGAAAGGGAAGGGACCCCGGGCCGAAAGGCGCCGGGGAGCUGGCACAGGUGCUGCAUGGCUGUCGUCAGCUCGUGCCGUGGGGUGUUGGGUUAAGUCCCGGAACGAGCGCAACCCCUGCCGCCAGUUGCCAGCGGGCCCUGCGGGGCGCCGGGGACUCUGGCGGGACUGCCGGCGAACAGCCGGAGGAAGGAGGGGAUGACGUCAAGUCCUCAUGGCCCUUAUGCCCGGGGCCACACACAUGCUACAGUGCCCGGCACAAUGGGACGCGAAGGGGCGACCCGGAGCAAGUCCCAGCAAAACCGGGCAUGGUUCGGAUUGCAGGCUGCAACUCGCCUGCAUGAAGAGGGAAUCGCUAGUAAUCGCGGGUCAGCCACACCGCGGUGAAUACGUACUUGGGGCUUGUACACACCGCCCGUCACGCCAACCGAGUGGGGGGCACUUGAAGUCGUCUGGAGAGGGCGCCGAGGGUGUCCUCCAUAAGAGGGGCGAAGUCGUAACAAGGUAACCGUAAAUCA
RNAcentral lists this ribosomal RNA (1458 nucleotides) under uncultured bacterium. RNAcentral describes it as "bacterial SSU rRNA". It matches the Rfam family "Bacterial small subunit ribosomal RNA". The record is from RNAcentral.